ACUACGGGUGGCAGCAGUGAGGAAUAUUGCACAAUGGGCGCAAGCCUGAUGCAGCCAUGCCGCGUGUGUGAAGAAGGCCUUCGGGUUGUAAAGCACUUUCAGCGGGGAGGAAGGCGGUGAGGUUAAUAACCUCAUCGAUUGACGUUACCCGCAGAAGAAGCACCGGCUAACUCCGUGCCAGCAGCCGCGGUAAUACGGAGGGUGCAAGCGUUAAUCGGAAUUACUGGGCGUAAAGCGCACGCAGGCGGUCUGUCAAGUCGGAUGUGAAAUCCCCGGGCUCAACCUGGGAACCGCAUUCGAAACUGGCAGGCUAGAGUCUUGUAGAGGGGGGUAGAAUUCCAGGUGUAGCGGUGAAAUGCGUAGAGAUCUGGAGGAAUACCGGUGGCGAAGGCGGCCCCCUGGACAAAGACUGACGCUCAGGUGCGAAAGCGUGGGGAGCAAACAGGAUUAGAUACCCGGGUAGUC
This 465-nucleotide ribosomal RNA is filed under the name uncultured Klebsiella sp. RNAcentral's name for it is "bacterial SSU rRNA". It matches the Rfam family "Bacterial small subunit ribosomal RNA", at positions 338 to 795 of the family's 1533-position model. The record is from RNAcentral. Lineage: Bacteria; Pseudomonadati; Pseudomonadota; Gammaproteobacteria; Enterobacterales; Enterobacteriaceae.